UCCCCGAUAGCUCAGUUGGUAGAGCAACGGACUGUUAAUCCGUUUGUCGCUGGUUCGAGCCCAGUUCGGGGAGCCA
RNAcentral lists this transfer RNA (76 nucleotides) under Marinobacter sp. B9-2. RNAcentral's name for it is "tRNA-Asn". It matches the Rfam family "tRNA". From Rfam's summary of the family: Transfer RNA (tRNA) molecules are approximately 80 nucleotides in length. Their secondary structure includes four short double-helical elements and three loops (D, anti-codon, and T loops). Further hydrogen bonds mediate the characteristic L-shaped molecular structure. tRNAs have two regions of fundamental functional importance: the anti-codon, which is responsible for specific mRNA codon recognition, and the 3' end, to which the tRNAs corresponding amino acid is attached (by aminoacyl-tRNA synthetases). tRNAs cope with the degeneracy of the genetic code in two manners: having more than one tRNA (with a specific anti-codon) for a particular amino acid; and 'wobble' base-pairing, i.e. permitting non-standard base-pairing at the 3rd anti-codon position. Lineage: Bacteria; Pseudomonadati; Pseudomonadota; Gammaproteobacteria; Pseudomonadales; Marinobacteraceae. RNAcentral also lists the same sequence under 1 other name. The record is from RNAcentral.